UAAGGAAUAUUGGUCAAUGGACGGAAGUCUGAACCAGCCAUGCCGCGUGGAGGAUGAAGGCCCUCUGGGUUGUAAACUUCUUUUAUCUGGGACGAAACACUUCUUUUCUAAGGAGCUUGACGGUACCAGGUGAAUAAGCACCGGCUAACUCCGUGCCAGCAGCCGCGGUAAUACGGAGGGUGCAAGCGUUAUCCGGAUUCACUGGGUUUAAAGGGUGCGUAGGCGGACAUGUAAGUCCGUGGUGAAAUCUCCGAGCUUAACUCGGAAACUGCCAUGGAUACUAUAUGUCUUGAAUGUUGUGGAGGUUAGCGGAAUAUGUCAUGUAGCGGUGAAAUGCAUAGAUAUGACAUAGAACACCAAUUGCGAAGGCAGCUGGCUACACAAAUAUUGACGCUGAGGCACGAAAGCGUGGGGAUCAAACA
RNAcentral lists this ribosomal RNA (422 nucleotides) under uncultured Chitinophaga sp. RNAcentral describes it as "bacterial SSU rRNA". It matches the Rfam family "Bacterial small subunit ribosomal RNA", at positions 355 to 774 of the family's 1533-position model. The record is from RNAcentral. Lineage: Bacteria; Pseudomonadati; Bacteroidota; Chitinophagia; Chitinophagales; Chitinophagaceae.